This is a long non-coding RNA of Apis florea (little honeybee), 490 nucleotides long. Lineage: Eukaryota; Metazoa; Arthropoda; Insecta; Hymenoptera; Apidae. The record is from RefSeq and is a predicted model, not a curated record.
UUAUAUUUUUAAUAAAGGAACCUUCGUAAAAUUUCGAUGUUACAGGAAUCGUCAAUUAAAAUGCAUUGUAUAAUACUUUAAUUUUCGCGCGGCUUAAGAAAAUAAGGACCAUAUUAUUUCAACCAAUUAGAAAGCUCCUAGGCGAAUCUGUAGUGUGCAUGGUAUUAUUCUGCUCUCGAAAAUUAUCGUGACAGGACGCAUCAGUUCGAUUUGUGUAACUUUGAUUAUGCAAUUAUUGUUCGAUUAUGUCGAAAUGACUUCGAAGGAAUGCAUACAUCAGAAGAAUUUACUACACAUAGCCAAUAAUUUUUCUAUUUUUCUGCAAACAUGAUUAUUAACCGAUUAUUGGAAUGAUAUACAAGGCGGGAAAAAUUUCAAUAUGGACGUCAUCAUACAGAAGUGGUAAAAUUCAAAAAUUUUUUAUAUUUCUAUUCUUUUUCUUUAUUGAAUUAUUAAUAAUACAUAUCAUUAUUAAAUAAUAUAUUAUUAA